UACGGGGGGGGCAAGCGUUGUUCGGAAUUACUGGGCGUAAAGCGCGCGCAGGCGGUCCUUUAAGUCUGAUGUGAAAGCCCACGGCUCAACCGUGGAGGGUCAUUGGAAACUGGGGAACUUGAGUACAGAAGAGGAAAGCGGAAUUCCACGUGUAGCGGUGAAAUGCGUAGAGAUGUGGAGGAACACCAGUGGCGAAGGCGGCUUUCUGGUCUGUAACUGACGCUGAGGCGCGAAAGCGUGGGGAGCAAACAGG
This 253-nucleotide ribosomal RNA is filed under the name uncultured bacterium. RNAcentral's name for it is "partial 16S ribosomal RNA". It matches the Rfam family "Bacterial small subunit ribosomal RNA", at positions 524 to 776 of the family's 1533-position model. The record is from RNAcentral.